GGGAGCGGAUGGGGCCUGGUGGCUCCUGCGGUCUUCAACACCGUUGGCGGCAACCCUGCGGUUGGCGCGGUGGGUUCGACUCCCUCUCGCUCCCGCCA
Molecule: transfer RNA, 98 nt
Filed under: Dehalococcoidia bacterium
Lineage: Bacteria; Bacillati; Chloroflexota; Dehalococcoidia
Also listed under: 1 other name
Description: tRNA-Sec
Rfam family: Selenocysteine transfer RNA
Source: RNAcentral